Molecule: ribosomal RNA, 438 nt
Filed under: Nemopilema nomurai
Lineage: Eukaryota; Metazoa; Cnidaria; Scyphozoa; Rhizostomeae; Rhizostomatidae
Description: partial 16S ribosomal RNA
Rfam family: Bacterial large subunit ribosomal RNA
Source: RNAcentral
CCGUGAUAAAGUAGCAUAAUCACUCGUCAUUUAAUUGGUGACUGGAAUGAAUGGUUACACGAAUCUUUAACUGUCUCAAGAAGAAAGUUCAAUUAAUUUGAAAAAACAGUGAAGAUGCUGUUAACAAAAUUGUAAGACGAAAAGACCCUUUCGAGCUUUACUAUAAGCUUAUAGAAAAAAUCUUUAAUAAAAAUAUAAUAAAAACAAACUGUAAGCUAGUUAGUUUGGUUGGGGCGACCACCUCUAAAACAGUAUCAGAGGAAAUCUAAAGGUAUAAUAGUAAUAUUAAUUGCCUUACUGUAUACAAACAAGUUAAUCAGUUACUACUAUGUAGGAUAUAAUGACCCGUUGAAUUAAUUUCAAAAUUCAACGACCAUGAAAAAAGUUACCGUAGGGAUAACAGGGUAAUAUUAUCAAAGAGUUCAUAUCGAUGAUGAU